UUGACCAAAGUCAACCUUCUAACCAAAAACCAUUUCUUAAUCAUUUUCAUAUUUUUAGUCCAUUUCUAAUCAUCAUAUUUUUAAACCCAUUCAUAAUCACAUUUCAACCCAUUUCAAAUCCAAUCCAAUAACCAUUUCAUUUUCAACAUCCAAUCUUUGAUCCACUUAUCCAAUCCAUACCCAACUUCUAUUACCAUAAAACCAAUUAUCCAUAUCAUAUAUCCAUUCAUAU
Molecule: long non-coding RNA, 232 nt
Filed under: Lathyrus oleraceus (garden pea)
Lineage: Eukaryota; Viridiplantae; Streptophyta; Magnoliopsida; Fabales; Fabaceae
Description: Pisum sativum (pea) long non-coding RNA (PSAT_LNC025471)
Source: RNAcentral